Molecule: long non-coding RNA, 253 nt
Filed under: Homo sapiens (human)
Lineage: Eukaryota; Metazoa; Chordata; Mammalia; Primates; Hominidae
Description: non-protein coding lnc-HGSNAT-4:1
Source: RNAcentral
GCUGGCAUCCUACUAGUUUGACUCUCAGUAAUAAGACUUGUCAAAGAUCCAAGAAUCUGAAAGUUGAUGAUAAAUUUCCAUGUGUAUCACCAUCAAUGACUGAAAGUCAGCAUCCACAGAAUUGGGAGAGAUGAACUUAAUAGAUAAAGAUGAAUUGGAGUUGUGUUUCUCUUAGAGAAUGAUACUCUCCAUGACUUGUGUGAGUCACAGCUGCCAGAAAACAAAGAGGCCAAGGAACAUAUUAAAGAAGCAC